CUCCUAUAUGGAUGGCCUAUAUCCCUGCUCAGCUCACCACUCUCUGAUUAUCUGCUACCCCUUGCGCCUCGUCUUUUCUGGCCCCUUCUUGAAUACAUUGGGAAACUUCUUUGGCAAUACGGUAAUGCUGUUCUGGCAAAGCCUCGUUCUGCCUCUUCCCUUUCUCCCACUCUGUCUCCUGGCGACCUGGUAUGUUUUAACUACCACCCCAACAGGCUCACCUUCUCCUCUCAACUCUCUGCAAAACGGACUGAACCCUAUGGGGUUAUUCUUACGGUCCACCUUUAGGGCAUCCCAUAUUGAGUUCAUAACUCCCAUUUAAAAUGGUUUUAUCCACCCUUUUAUACGGUGACACCCACGAGCCCUCCCAAGCUGCGUUUCUCCAAGGCCGGAACCCCCAAUCUUCCUUUGGUCUCUAAGGACCAUGAGGACCAUGAAUACCAUCUGCAGAACCAUGAAUACCAUCCUUCCCUUUUUUAUUUUUGCCCUCCUUCCUCAUUCUGCGCUCGCUUCCCAGGGGUACCAUUACCAGGAAUUACCAUUCCAAUUUCUAGGAGACUUAGAGCCACUUGCUAACCGUACAGUCCCAGUUUGAUUCUUUAGCUGCUGUGAUUCUGCAGAAUCGAAGGGGUUCGAUCUUUUUAUGAUUGAAAAAGGCAGACUUUAUCUGUACCUACAGGAGGAAUGCUAUUUUUAUGUCAAUCAAUCUGGUAUAGUAAAGGAUAAGAUAAAACAACUCCAACAAGACCUUGAACAUCAGAAAAAACAGCUCUCCUCUGCUGAAGGAAGGCAGCUAAGUAACCCCCUUCUCCAGUGGGCACUUCCUUUCCUGAUACCUCUCCUUGUCAUAGGCCUUCUGUUAAUGCUUUCCCCCUGCAUCAUUAGACUGGUUCAAGCCCAGAUCCAAAAAAAAUAUCUAAUCAAACUAUAAACCAGCUUUUGUUACAGGAAUACCAAUCCCUCCCUAAAAAUUGGGGCAUGGAGAACAGCAUUCCACCUGUUAAACCACGAUGCAAAGAAAUGACCACUGAC
This 1032-nucleotide long non-coding RNA is filed under the name Marmota monax (woodchuck). The record is from RNAcentral. Lineage: Eukaryota; Metazoa; Chordata; Mammalia; Rodentia; Sciuridae.